Long non-coding RNA from Microtus ochrogaster (prairie vole), 1781 nucleotides. RefSeq lists it as uncharacterized. Lineage: Eukaryota; Metazoa; Chordata; Mammalia; Rodentia; Cricetidae. The transcript is spliced from 4 exons. The record is from RefSeq and is a predicted model, not a curated record.
AGCGCGACUCUUAGGCGGUCGAUGUAAGAGAACCUGCGGCACAUGGGCGGAUGCAGCUCCUUAUAUACAGAUCAGUCACCAUGGGGAUGGGCCUUGGCCUUUUCCUGUUGGUCCAGACCCCUCUGUCUGCCCAGAGAAGCCGUGACAGGAGAGUGGUGAUUGGUGCAAGCGACAUGGUAUGAGGAAAUGGAUUACAGUGCCAUUCUUCUGCUGUUUAGAAAGCCUCCAUUAUCAGCGAGGAUCAUCUAGUGAAAGGCUCUGAGCUGCAGACCACUGAACAUUUGCUGGAUAAAAAUUCAGAGAAAUCUCCAGAUCUCUUGGCUUUUUAAAUUCGUGGACAUCCAGCAAUGGCAGAAGAAAGCUUGGGUCUGUUUCCGAGCUCCCCGGCCUUCUGCCAGCGUGGCAGGCACAAGACCUCGAGAAAAUUCAGCUGCGCCGCCAUCUGCUGGACCUUUGGAGACACUGCAGGAACCCGUAGAUUGAACAAAGGUGUUGGGGUUGUCAGUGAAGACCUAGCUUUUUGCCCAGGAACUAGUGCCAAGGCAAGGAUACAUUCCGUCUGCUCAUCCAAAAACAAACAAACAAACGAAAAAACACUAAACAGACCCUUUGCUAGAAAGGAGUCUCCGUGUUGAGAAGCACUUGGAUCUGAACGAACUGGGGUUGAUGGCCACACAGAAAGCCCAGGGCUGCUAUGGAAAGGCAGAAUCCUCUUCAUUACCUGCAUCCAUGCUGGGCACUCGCUAAAAACUAAAACGUUGUUUUCCAUCGCUGCACACAGGGGGUUUCAGGGACAGAAGUCACAUUGCCCUUGCUCUCCUGAGCGGACUGCUUUUGCUGAAUGGAAAUGAUUCGAAAGGUGAAAGGUGACAGAAACAAAAAUCGAUCGGGGGGCUGGAAGGUGCUCAGAUGUAGCCCUGGCGGGGUUUGAUAACGAGAUCGCGAAACCCUGCCACCGUUUUCCAACCUCUAGAGUCACUUCUGAUUCACUUGAAGAUUUUUCUAUUUAGCAGCUGCAGACCCUUUUCACACGAGGGACUAACCCCAUUUGCAAACACAUUUAUAUAUGUGCUUUCAAAGAAACAUUGUUUGUUUGAAGCGGUUAUUGAAACAGUCCGUUCAGCAUUGCUGCAACGCUGCUAUAACCCGCACUGCACUCUGAAAUCUUUUGAGGGAACUAACUGGCCAACAGCAGAAUGAAGACCAGGGUCCGACUGGCCCACCCACCCCGGAAAAUCGGGUUCCACGGCAGAAGCCUUAGUAAUGGAAACACAUUAACAAAACAUAGCUCUGACCCCACGGAGCUAUUAACAAAAACAAAACUAGUUUUUGUAUUCUGGAAUGAGCUUUCAGUGUUUUUCCUGAAAGAGAUGAAAUGGCUUGAUCAACCAUGUGGCCUACCGGAGCCUGGCUGAUUACAAAAUCCUUGGGGUCCAUGUCAGGUGACUUCCAUAUUCAAUGUGUUCUAAGGGCCUCCUACAUUUCUUUAAUAACUAAGCCCUCCAGGGAGAGACUGUCUGGUCCUACUGCUAGAAGAGGUAGCCAUCUCCAGAGUGCUUGGAGAAGAUACUACAGCAACCAAGGAAACAAAGAAAUGAAAGUUCCCUAUAGCAAGUCCUGGAUGGACUGUGUCAGAAAAUGGAGCACGGUUUUGUCGAUUUUUUUAUAGUAUUUAUUUAGUGUGUAUACAGUGUUCUGCCUGCACAUCAAGUGAGGGCGCCAAAUCUCACUAUAGAUGAAAAACAGCCAGUGCUCUGAACCUCUGAGCCAUAUCUCCGCCC